This 500-nucleotide ribosomal RNA is filed under the name uncultured bacterium. Its description in RNAcentral is "partial 16S ribosomal RNA". It matches the Rfam family "Bacterial small subunit ribosomal RNA", at positions 30 to 523 of the family's 1533-position model. The record is from RNAcentral.
AUUGAACGCUGGCGGAAUGCUUUACACAUGCAAGUCGAACGGCAGCACAGACUUCGGUCUGGUGGCGAGUGGCGACCGGGUGAGUAAUGUAUCGGAACGUGCCCAGUCGUGGGGGAUAACGCAGUGAAAAUUACGCUAAUACCGCAUACGAUCGAUGGAUGAAAGCGGGGGAUCGCAAGACCUCGCGCGCUUGGAGCGGCCGAUACCAGAUUAGGGAGUUGGUGGGGUAAAGGCCCACCAAGCCAACGACUCGUAGCUGGUGUGAGAGGACGACCAGCCACACUGGAACUGAGACACGGUCCAGACUCCUACGGGAGGCAGCAGUGGGGAAUUUUGGACAAUGGGCGAAAGCCUGAUCCAGCCAUUCCGCGUGCAGGAUGAAGGCCCUCGGGUUGUAAACUGCUUUUGUACAGAACGAAAAGGUUUCUACUAAUACUAGGAGCUCAUGACGGUACUGUAAGAAUAAGCACCGGCUAACUACGUGCCAGCCGCCGCAGUAA